GUUCCACACCCGGCCCGCUCGGCGUAGCCCUACAGCGAGGCCGCCGACUCACCCUGCGUCCUCUCGGCCGUGCUGGUGAGGAGGCGAGGAGGGCGCAGCGCCGGGCUAGAAUAACUCGUGUUUGCGGACCGCGGACACUGCACCGGCCUCUGUGUUCAACGAUUUACUCGCGGUGCAGCUAUUAUUCGCAUCUUUCAGAGCCAGAUGCGGAGAUUCAGAAAGGUAAAGCGACUUGGCCGCAGUCACAGAAAGUGAUGAAAUCGGACUGGAACCCGAGAUGCUUUUGAACACCCUAAACCCUGCUGCUAAUCUGGGACUCAAGGCUUCGCCGCUGUCGAGAAUACAUCGCACCCCGGUAGAAAUUCACAAGAGGAAACGAAGAAGGGAAAAACGUGAAUGAAAAAUGCAAGUUCUCACAAUGCUGUUCAGGUUGGCCUGAAACUCAUGGCAAUCCCUCUACCUCAUCUUUCCAAAUGCUGGGAUUACAGGUCUGCAAAGCCUCCUGGAGAAUCCAUAGAGAAUCAACAUGUGUCCUUAACCCAUCCUUUCUGUGUUAUCUCUUCCCUUCUGAUGUUUUGUAAGGCAGAAAAGCAAGCAAUAGCCCAUGAAUCACUUUGGAUGCUAUGAAUGGUUCUAAUGUGGAUUCUUCUGAGGCAGUAAUUUUAAAAUACUACAUCAGAACUAUCAUGAAAGACUUGAAUUAGGAGCAAAUCUAUCCAGUCACUUACCAAGAGUAAUGGCUCUUUGUUAUUUCAUUUGGUAGGCCAGCCACUGAUCAUAACCAAAAAGUUGCUAUCCAAGUCAUCUGUAUUGAAAGGCAAAGUUUUCCUUUCUAUUGACACUCCUUAUUUCUCUUCUUCUUCUUGUCCUUCUUCUGUGAUUUUUUUGAGACAGGGUCUCGCUAGUAGUUUA
Molecule: long non-coding RNA, 912 nt
Organism: Fukomys damarensis (Damara mole-rat)
Lineage: Eukaryota; Metazoa; Chordata; Mammalia; Rodentia; Bathyergidae
Exons: 3
Source: RefSeq, a predicted model, not a curated record